RNAcentral lists this transfer RNA (77 nucleotides) under Escherichia coli. RNAcentral's name for it is "transfer RNA-Met". It matches the Rfam family "tRNA". Rfam says of the family: Transfer RNA (tRNA) molecules are approximately 80 nucleotides in length. The record is from RNAcentral. Lineage: Bacteria; Pseudomonadati; Pseudomonadota; Gammaproteobacteria; Enterobacterales; Enterobacteriaceae.
CGCGGGGUAGCUCAGUUGGUUAGAGCACAUCACUCAUAAUGAUGGGGUCACAGGUUCGAAUCCCGUCCCCGCAACCA